Molecule: long non-coding RNA, 362 nt
Organism: Cyprinus carpio carpio
Lineage: Eukaryota; Metazoa; Chordata; Actinopteri; Cypriniformes; Cyprinidae
Source: Ensembl
GAAAUGAUCAUUCUAGAACAGUAUCUUCGCAUGCUUUCUCCUGAACUCCAGGUCUGGGUCCGGGAACGGGACCCUAGGACCGCAGCGGAUGCCGCGUCAUUAGCUGAUGUCUUUGUGGCUGCAAGAAAAAAGAAUCAACCGUGGAGUUGGACAACUGGUAGUGACUCCCGACGGGCCCCGUUCCAUCAGAAACCGGUGCCUGGGGCGGAUCAAGACGGUGACCGUAAACGGGAAAGAACUGAAGGCCCUAGUGGAUACUGGGAGUGACCAGACUCUGGUGAACAGGAAAUUUGUGGCUCCAUCUUUAAUUAGGGCCUAUAAUAAAUUACCCAUCUGCUGCGUACAUGGGGAGGAAAGAAUGG